This is a long non-coding RNA of Ictalurus punctatus (channel catfish), 916 nucleotides long. Lineage: Eukaryota; Metazoa; Chordata; Actinopteri; Siluriformes; Ictaluridae. The record is from Ensembl.
CACACAUGCAGACACACACACAUGCAGACACACACACAUGCAGACACACACACAUGCAGACACACACACAUGCAGACACACACACAUGCAGACACACACACAUGCAGACACACACACAUGCAGACACACACACACACAUGCAGACAGACACACACACAUACAGACAGACACACACAUACAGACACACACACCCCUCCGGGAUUGGGGGUUCGAAUUCUGCCUCCGCCCUGUGUGUGUGUGUGUGUGUGUGUGUUUGUGCCCAUGAUGAGUUGGCACCCUGUCCAGGUUGUUCCCUAUCUCGUGCCCCUGUGUGGAUAAGUGGUACAUUAAAUGGAUGGAUGGAUGAGUAGCUAAGAAAGGGAAGGGGAUGCGUGCGCUGAAGUAAAUCAGCUCGUGUGUUGUUGCGGCAGUGUGUUAUUUUGCUCUCGGUGUGUACGCGCGUGUGUGAGAAAUGUGGGAUUUGGGGAAUACACAGCAACUGGACAUCAAUGGCUGGGUCAGAACCAGUAGAGGAUAUAGAAUCCAUGGGGAGGUAGGAGAGUGUGUGUGUGUGUGUGGGGACUGGUGUACAGAAUGAUGGAUCACUAAGAUCCGCUGCUGAAUAGCACCGACAUGCUGUGUGCACCCAAACACACACUCGGGGACGUUUAAACUAAAUUAGGUCCUCAACGUCCAGCUUGCACGCAUUAAACGCCCGUAACGUUGUAAUUGAAAUUGAACCACUAAAAGCUUAUUCGCUCUAUACGGCCUUGAUGUAUCGAACAUAAAACCCAUAAUUAAAUAUAAUUACGACACACACACACACACACAAUGCCGAGACUUUACGGGCAUCACCGCCACACAGAAAUGUUCCAGCCGUUUAAAUUAGCACAGCGUGUGUGUGAGAGAGAGAGAGAGAGAGAGAGAGAGAGAGAGA